This is a long non-coding RNA of Melanotaenia boesemani (Boeseman's rainbowfish), 2344 nucleotides long. RefSeq lists it as uncharacterized. The record is from RefSeq and is a predicted model, not a curated record. The transcript has 3 exons. NCBI's taxonomy places the organism in Eukaryota, Metazoa, Chordata, Actinopteri, Atheriniformes, Melanotaeniidae.
AAGGUCUCGGGGCAGCUGGAGCCUAUUCCAGCAUUUUAGCAGUGUACUGAGCGUGUGCAGUGACCUGUGAUGUGACCACCAACCUGCGGCGUUUCCUCAGACAGCAGGAUGAUGUGCUGCUGCUUCUCCACCCCCUCCACCUCCUCUCCUCCUCAGAGAUCUGAAAUGUAAAUGAGAUGCUCCAGUUUCUGCUUUACCGAGGAGCCGCUGGCGUCAAGCUCAGAAUCCAGGUCAGAGAGAAGGUCUGAGGUAGCGGAGGAGGAGGAGGAAGAGGGGAGGAGGAGAAGAGAGGAGGAGAAGAGGAGAAGAAGAGAAGAGGAGGAGGAAAGGAGGAGACGUCAGAGAGGAAGCUGCUGCACACAUCAGGAAACAUAAUCCACCUGCUUCCAUGAUGGUUUUCCUUUUCACAUAAAAACAUCUGGAAAAACGAUGAAGAUCCAGGUCCCGGUAGGACGCUCUAGGUCCAGGUCCCGGUAGGAUGAUGAAGGUCCAGGUCCCGGUAGGACGCUCUAGGGCCAGGUCCCGGUAGGAUGAUGAAGGUCCUGGACCUGAAUUAAAUUCACCCCCUCUCCGAGCUGAGGACCCUGGACUUCAGUUGUUUGUAAAAGCGGGAGCUUUUUCCUGGAACGUGACAUUAAAAGAAUUUUAUUUGGUUUUGUUCUACAGAGACGUCUCGCUCCAUGAUCAGAUCUUGUGAACGGUUUCAGGACCAGUUCCAGUCUGCUGGUCAUGCUGGAGUGGACCAGCAGACUGGACAGACCAGACAGACCUGUGAAUCUUGUUGGCUGGUUUCUGUGGUUCUUGGUGAAGAUCUGUUUCUGUCACAUGUUCCUCUCAGUCAUGUUGUGGUUUUUGUAUUGACACUUCUGGGCCACCGUAGUGUUGUUCCUGUAAAACUAUGCUGGAAAUGACUUUGUUCUUCAUGUUGAUGCUUCAUCACUGACGACAGAAAACAGGUGAACUCGUUAAUCUGGACCUGGGUUGUUUCCUGCAGACUGUUAGAGUCUGCGAGCUACAUGAAUCAGAGUUUUGGACAUUAGGAGAUAAACUGUGAUGAAGCUACAGACUGUGAGGAUGUGGUCCAGUUCUGGGACUGCAGGAUGUUACUGCUGCUCGUCCCACGUCAUGGGUCCAGCAGAGUCUGCUUCUGCUCAGAGUCUGACAGCUUGUGUUGCUUCGUGUUGUCAUGUGUUUAUUUCCACUGAGCCAGAACCAGGACGGAGUCUGGAAGAGUUCCUGAGAUCCAUUCAGAUUGUUUCUCCUCAGCUUCUCGUGUCUGUUUCACACUCACAUCACUGACUGAGCACAAGAUUCAGAUGUGGCACAAAACUUUAUUAACCCUAACACCAGGGCCAUUUGACACCUGAGACAUUCAGUUUUUACAGCUGUUUGUAUCUAUGUAGAGGAAUAAAAACAGAAUCGUCUGUAAAUUCAUUUCUAAAACAAGCACAUGUGUAAAUAUGCAAAUGAGUCUGCAGUCAAAGAUUCGGUGCAGUAAAAGGGUCAAAAGUCUGAUUAUGGCUCCAAACCAGCACGAGGUUAAAUCCACCCUGAUCAGGGACUAACAGGACUUCUUGUAUCAAAGUUUGGUCCAUGUUGGAUCAUUUAUUGUCAAGAAUGUAUGUUAGCUCUGGAGAGGCUAACAGUUAGCAUCUCUAAACUUGUGAACAGCUAGAUUAGAAGCUGCCUUGGCUGGUUAUCACCAAGAAAAACUGGAAGCCGUUAUACUGACAGCUCAUUAAAUCAUCCACUGCUCUGGUUUCUAGCAUGCUAAAGCUAACCAAAUUAGCUGCUGUGUCAGCGUGUCUUCUUUUCAUUUUAUUGGCAGACUGUGUGUUACGCUGCUGCCACCUGCUGUUGACUUGGUGCUACUGCAGUAUGAGGUUCACGUGCUGACGUCACUCAUUACGACUUCCUGCUAAACAUAAACAAAAAUAAUAAAACAUAAUUAUUUUACUUCAGUGUGUUUCCUGAUUUUUGUAAAAGUGAACAUUUAAUCCAGGAUUCAAACCAAAGAAAUGUCCAGGUCAGUAGCUAAGAUGUGUGAUAUGGCUGUACGCUGAUGUCUUAUUUUUGUUCCUUUUACUGAGCCGUAGGAAUCCAAUUCACUUUAUUCAUACACAUGUUCUGAAACACAUGGUUACCAAUGUGCUGCACAUAGAAAAUAUAACUGUUAAAAGACAGAAACGUUCCACACAAAGAAAAACAAUCUGCACGCCACAAAGACGACAGAGUAUGUCUGAAAUCUACCAAAACAUCUAAAAACUACAAAAAACAAGAUCCACUAGAAGAAAUUACAAGACUUAAAACACUAAAACAGAUUUAGAUCCAGCUGAGAAACAAU